Long non-coding RNA from Coregonus clupeaformis (lake whitefish), 2220 nucleotides. RefSeq lists it as uncharacterized. The record is from RefSeq and is a predicted model, not a curated record. NCBI's taxonomy places the organism in Eukaryota, Metazoa, Chordata, Actinopteri, Salmoniformes, Salmonidae. The transcript has 3 exons.
UCCACUUUACACUAAGGUACGCUUUAUAACACCACUCCACUUUACACUAAGGUACGCUUUAUAACACCACUCCACUUCACACUAAGGUACGCUUUAUAACACCACUCCACUUCACACUAAGGUACGCUUUAUAACACCACUCCACUUUACACUAAGGUACGCUUUAUAACACCACUCCACUUCACACUAAGGUACGCUUUAUAACACCACUCCACUUUACACUAAGGUACGCUUUAUAACACCACUCCACUUCACACUAAGGUACGCUUUAUAACACCACUCCACUUUACACUAAGGUACGCUUUAUACACCACUCCACUUCACACUAAGGUACGCUUUAUAACACCACUCCACUUUACACUAAGGUACGCUUUAUAACACCACUCCACUUCACACUAAGGUACGCUUUAUAACACCACUCCACUUCACACUAAGGUACGCUUUAUAACACCACUCCACUUCACACUAAGGUACGCUUUAUAACACCACUCCACUUUACACUAAGGUACGCUUUAUAACACCACUCCACUUCACACUAAGGUACGCUUUAUAACACCACUCCACUUUACACUAAGGUACGCUUUAUAACACCACUCCACUUUACACUAAGGUACGCUUUAUAACACCACUCCACUUUACACUAAGGUACGCUUUAUAACACCACUCCACUUUACACUAAGGUACGCUUUAUUACACCACUCCACUUCACACUAAGGUACGCUUUAUAACACCACUCCACUUUACACUAAGGUACGCUUUAUAACACCACUCCACUUUACACUAAGGUACGCUUUAUAACACCACUCCACUUCACACUAAGGUACGCUUUAUAACACCACUCCACUUUACACUAAGGUACGCUUUAUAACACCACUCCACUUUACACUAAGGUACGCUUUAUAACACCACUCCACUUCACACUAAGGUACUCUUUAUAACACCACUCCACUUCACACUAAGGUACGCUUUAUAACACCACUCCACUUUACACUAAGGUACGCUUUAUUACACCACUCCACUUUACACUAAGGUACGCUUUAUAACACCACUCCACUUUACACUAAGGUAUGCUUUAUAACACCACUCCACUUCACACUAAGGUACGCUUUAUUACACCACUCCACUUCACACUAAGGUACGCUUUAUAACACCACUCCACUUUACACUAAGGUACGCUUUAUAACACCACUCCACUUCACACUAAGGUACGCUUUAUAACACCACUCCACUUUACACUAAGGUACGCUUUAUUACACCACUCCACUUCACACUAAGGUACGCUUUAUAACACCACUCCACUUCACACUAAGGUACGCUUUAUAACACCACUCCACUUUACACUAAGGUACGCUUUAUAACACCACUUCACACUAAGGUACGCUUUAUAACACCACUCCACUUUACACUAAGGUACGCUUUAUAACACCACUCCACUUUACACUAAGGUACGCUUUAUAACACCACUCCACUUCACACUAAGGUACGCUUUAUAACACCACUCCACUUUACACUAAGGUACGCUUUAUAACACCACUCCACUUCACACUAAGGUACGCUUUAUAACACCACUCCACUUUACACUAAGGUACGCUUUAUAACACCACUCCACUUCACACUAAGGUACGCUUUAUAACACCACUCCACUUUACACUAAGGUACGCUUUAUAACACCACUCCACUUUACACUAAGGUACGCUUUAUAACACCACUCCACUUUACACUAAGGUACGCUUUAUAACACCACUCCACUUUACACUAAGGUACGCUUUAUUACACCACUCCACUUCACACUAAGGUACGCUUUAUAACACCACUCCACUUCACACUAAGGUACGCUUUAUAACACCACUCCACUUCACACUAAGGUACGCUUUAUAACACCACUCCACUUUACACUAAGGUACGCUUUAUAACACCACUCCAAUUUACACUAAGGUACGCUUUAUAACACCACUCCACUUUACACUAAGGUACGCUUUAUAACACCACUCCACUUCACACUAAGGUACGCUUUAUAACACCACUCCACUUUACACUAAGGUACGCUUUAUAACACCACUCCACUUCACACUAAGGUACGCUUUAUAACACCACUCCACUUCACACUAAGGUACGCUUUAUAACACCACUCCACUUCACACUAAGGUACGCUUUAUAACACCACUCCACUUCACACUAAGGUACGCUUUAUACAGUGCCUUGCAGAAGUAUUCAUCCCCC